RNAcentral lists this small RNA (186 nucleotides) under Citrobacter koseri. RNAcentral describes it as "STnc100". It matches the Rfam family "Gammaproteobacterial sRNA STnc100". Lineage: Bacteria; Pseudomonadati; Pseudomonadota; Gammaproteobacteria; Enterobacterales; Enterobacteriaceae. The record is from RNAcentral.
GUUGGUUGUAAUGGUAAGCUUUCUUCGUUGCGGUGAAUCCCCCUAUGCGGAGGGGCAACCAGUCAAAAGAUACAUCCUUUUGCAGGUCUGCUGACUGGAGCAGGCCUACCGGGAGGCACCCGGCACCGCAACACAAUCCCAACCGCAAGCACGCUUCAAUUCCUUCUCAGAUGAGUUUUGUUGUUA